Molecule: ribosomal RNA, 305 nt
Filed under: uncultured bacterium
Lineage: Bacteria
Description: bacterial SSU rRNA
Rfam family: Bacterial small subunit ribosomal RNA
Source: RNAcentral
AUACCUACGGGGGGCAGCAGUGGGGAAUCUUCCGCAAUGGGCGCAAGCCUGACGGAGCAACGCCGCGUGGAGGAUGAAGGUUUUCGGAUUGUAAACUCCUUUUGUUAGAGAAGAUAAUGACGGUAUCUAACGAAUAAGCACCGGCUAACUCCGUGCCAGCAGCCGCGGUAAUACGGAGGGUGCAAGCGUUACUCGGAAUCACUGGGCGUAAAGAGCGCGUAGGCGGGAUAGCAAGUCAGAUGUGAAAUCCUAUGGCUUAACCAUAGAACUGCAUUUGAAACUGUUAUUCUAGAGUAUGGGAGAGG